AGAGUUUGAUCCUGGCUCAGAGCGAACGCUGGCGGCGCGCUUAACACAUGCAAGUCGAACGCGCAGUUCGGUGUAGCAAUACAUCGGGCGGGCGCGUGGCGAACGGGUGCGUAACACGUGGGCAACCUUCCCUCAUGUGGGGGAUAACCCGCCGAAAGGCGGGCUAAUACCGCAUAACAUUCCGACGGCACCUGCCGUUGGACUCAAAGCUCGCAAGAGCGCAAGAGGAGGGGCCCGCGGCCGAUUAGCUUGUUGGCGAGGUAAUGGCUCACCAAGGCAAUGAUCGGUAGCCGGUCUGAGAGGAUGAUCGGCCACACUGGAACUGAGACACGGUCCAGACUCCUACGGGAGGCAGCAGUGGGGAAUCUUGCGCAAUGGGCGAAAAGCCUGACGCAGCAACGCCGCGUGGGGGAUGAAGCUUCUCGGAGUGUAAACCCCUUUCGACCCGGACGAAUUGCCCGCAAGGGCAUGACGGUACGGGUAUAAGAAGCCCCGGCUAACUACGUGCCAGCAGCCGCGGUAAAACGUAGGGGGCCAGCGUUGCUCGGAAUUACUGGGCGUAAAGGGUCCGUAGGCGGUGUGGCAAGUCGGUAGUGAAAUCUCUGGGCUUAACUCAGAGGCUGCUGCCGAAACUGCUGUGCUCGAGUGCGAGAGAGGCGAGUGGAAUUGCGGUGUAGCGGUGAAAUGCGUAGAUAUCUGCAGGAACAUCCGAGGCGAAAGCGGCUCGCUGGAUCGCAACUGACGCUGAGGGACGAAAGCUAGGGGAGCAAACAGGAUUAGAUACCCCCGUAGUCC
RNAcentral lists this ribosomal RNA (795 nucleotides) under uncultured bacterium. Its description in RNAcentral is "bacterial SSU rRNA". It matches the Rfam family "Bacterial small subunit ribosomal RNA", at positions 8 to 796 of the family's 1533-position model. The record is from RNAcentral.